ACGGGUGAGUAACGCGUGGGAAUCUACCGUACCCUACGGAAUAGCUCUGGGAAACUGGAAGUAAUACCGUAUACGCCCUAACGGGGAAAGAUUUAUCGGGGUAUGAUGAGCCCGCGUUGGAUUAGCUAGUUGGUGGGGUAAAGGCCUACCAAGGCGACGAUCCAUAGCUGGUCUGAGAGGAUGAUCAGCCACAUUGGGACUGAGACACGGCCCAAACUCCUACGGGAGGCAGCAGUGGGGAAUAUUGGACAAUGGGGGCAACCCUGAUCCAGCCAUGCCGCGUGAGUGAUGAAGGUCUUAGGAUUGUAAAGCUCUUUCAACGGUGAAGAUAAUGACGGUAACCGUAGAAGAAGCCCCGGCUAACUUCGUGCCAGCAGCCGCGGUAAUACGAAGGGGGCUAGCGUUGUUCGGAAUUACUGGGCGUGAAGCGCACGUAGGCGGGUAUUUAAGUCAGGGGUGAAAUCCCGCAGCUCAACUGCGGAACUGCCUUUGAUACUGGGUAUCUUGAGUAUGGAAGAGGUAAGUGGAAUUGCGAGUGUAGAGGUGAAAUUCGUAGA
This 557-nucleotide ribosomal RNA is filed under the name uncultured bacterium. Its description in RNAcentral is "bacterial SSU rRNA". It matches the Rfam family "Bacterial small subunit ribosomal RNA", at positions 102 to 694 of the family's 1533-position model. The record is from RNAcentral.